UACAGAUUCAUGUUGACUCUGUAAACCAAAUUGGUAACUCCGCAUCCAUGUGAACGACGAAAGACGGUUGUUUUCUAGCACUGCGUGCUAAGCUAUCCGCCCGUAGAUUUUCCGUCCGGGGUACAUGAACGAUGUCUGAGUUGAGGAAACUUCUUUUUAAAAGCUUAAUGUCUUCCAUGUAACUUCCAAAUGCUGGCAAUUCUUUUGGUUCCGAAACCAUCUUCACUAAUUGAGAACAAUCCGUUGCAAACGUAACCUGAAACUGUCUUAAAUUCUUCAUACAUUCAAUUGCUCAAAUUAAUGUCUCCACCUCCGAAUGUAGAGGUGAACGACAUGCCCUUAUAUUCCUUGCCCAUAGUAAACCGUCAAAACCCGGUAAAGUGAUAUACCAGCCUUGCCCUUAAAAUAAGUCUUUGUCUUUCCAUGAACCAUCUAUGAAGUACCAUCGUCCUCAAGUCGGUAUUGUGGGUCUAUUCUGUGUCUGCUCCCUCGUUUGAUCCUUUACUACUUGUGCCUCAGCCCAAAGUGUUGAUUCUAAUUCUGUUGUUUUCAGUGUGUCCCUUGG
RNAcentral lists this long non-coding RNA (565 nucleotides) under Brassica napus (rape). Its description in RNAcentral is "long non-coding RNA (BNAP_LNC008179)". Lineage: Eukaryota; Viridiplantae; Streptophyta; Magnoliopsida; Brassicales; Brassicaceae. The record is from RNAcentral.